Molecule: long non-coding RNA, 1942 nt
Filed under: Homo sapiens (human)
Lineage: Eukaryota; Metazoa; Chordata; Mammalia; Primates; Hominidae
Description: HSALNT0345325
Source: RNAcentral
AUGAGCUUGAGGAGGCGGUGUCUGAUUUAUAUAGGGCAUGAGAGAUUGGUGAGACCAGGUGUGCCAUUUGCAUAGCUGGCCACCCCACCCUAAUCUUUAAUUAUGCAGUUGGUUCUCUACCUGGCCAGCGCCAUGUUGCCUGUUUCUUUACUGUACACAUGGUGACAAAGAAAAGCGAAGAUGGAGCCUCCAUGUUGAACCUACCUGGCCCCCAGCACUACUGGCAAGCAAAGUGUUCACUGAUGAAUGAACAAUUACAUUUACCCACAGACUGAAAUAUGAUGUUAUUUUGUUUUGACUGAAAUUCCAACUCACUGUGAGAAUACUGUGAAAAAAAUCAUGAGAAGUAUCCUCAUAGGUGAGUCUUUUCACACAUCUGCACUAGUGAAUAUCUGAAUUUUAAAAGCCACUCCAGACCUACAUAGGUGAUGAAUGAAGAAGAGUGCCCUUCCAUGAACACAUGUGCUGGAGACGUGUUGAAUUUCUUCCCCCUCAGCAUAAUCAGAGGAGGUGACCCCAAGCACCUUAGAGACCAUGGGAAGUUCCUAAUGCCGGCCUGAUGCAGAUUCUCUUCUCCACGGAGCACCAUGGCCGCUGGGCUCUGCCUUCCACACAGAACGAUGUGUACUUGAAAACAGUACACUCUUGCACAGCUGUCCCUGGAGCUUCCCCGUGGAGCUGUUAAACUUGCCCUCCGCUGGCUGUUUUCCACAAAGUAAUAUGGUUACAUAGAUUCACGGCUCAUGGCAAUGUUUCAUUAAGACAGUUCUUGAUGGCCGCUCCACACCUUUCUCACCACAUCUCACAGGCUGCCCUGCUGAGCCAGGUCUCCCUGGAACCCGGGGCUCCUGCGCAGGCCCCCAUUUUGCUCCAGAACACCCAGGAAGGCGGGGCUUGGGCUGGAAUGGGGACACCGAUUACCCUCUGUUCAGGCCUUUGGUGCCAGCUGAGGUCGAUACUGGUGCCAGGAUCGAGACUGUGCGCAUCCCAUCGAGAGCGGGCAGAUGUGGGGGCGCACUGGACCGGGCCUCCCAGGCUGACACCCAUUCACAGCAGCCUGAGCCUAAUCCGCCACUGCUCGCCUUCCUCCGACGUCUCCACCUAAACCAUCCUUCUGCACAUUGUGACCCAUCACUCCGCCCUUUGUCCACACAUCUCCUUCCCCACACCCACAACGCGGUGGUCCCUGCCCCACAAUGCAACGGAAACCUUGCGGAGUGCUAGGCGGAAGCUGCGAGGCCUGUGUAGACACUGCCUCCGCAGGGCUGGCGCACUCCUCCGAGGGCCGACUGAGGGGUGGGUUUUUUAAGUUGCAAAAUAAAAGUUAUCGCCUGUGGGCCCUGAAGGCCUCUUUUCCACUGGAUGACAGGAAUGUGUUUGUUCAGAGAUUGUAGUCUCCCUGAACUGGAAGGGACUUUAGAAACGGUCUAUUACAACACUCUCCUCCUACAUAGAGUUGGAGAAAUUUCACCCAUGGCUGGGCAGAAUCAGGGAGGCUUACCCUUUGGUACUACAGUUUUUGGCAUUACUGCAGGAACAUAGUGUCCCAGCCAUAAUGUUAGGUAGUUAGACAUUAGCAGCUGGGAGGGGGCGAGAGAGGAGGGCAGAAGGGCUAUCACUAAGACAGGCCCUGGCCCACCUAAGUUCAGCCCCCAAGACCACCCUAACUCCACCCUGAUAGAUGCAGCUUGUGGUAAAGUCUGUGGCCAGCACAUCCUGGAGAAAGAAGAACUGGGCACAGAUAAAAAAUCCCCUUACGUGGCGCAUGCCCAGUCCAUCUAGGCCAUAAACCCGGGUAACCUCAUCCUCAUUAUACAGUCAUUAUAAUAAAAUUUACAUGUGGUUUUGCCCCUCUGAGUGGGCUUUCCUUAACAAAGUGUAAGUAAAGACGUGCAGUUUAAGUUCAGUGAUAUAAGCAUAAACUGCUAAUCAAAUGACACAA